This 349-nucleotide unclassified non-coding RNA is filed under the name soil metagenome. Its description in RNAcentral is "partial contains 5.8S ribosomal RNA, internal transcribed spacer 2, and large subunit ribosomal RNA". The stretch from base 1 to 120 matches the Rfam family "5.8S ribosomal RNA", at positions 35 to 154 of the family's 154-position model. The record is from RNAcentral.
GAUGAAGAACGUAGCGAACUGCGAUAAGUAAUGUGAAUUGCAGAAUUCAGUGAAUCAUCGAGUCUUUGAACGCACAUUGCGCCCCCUGGCAUUCCGGGGGGCAUGCCUGUCCGAGCGUCAUUGCUGCCCUUCAAGCCCGGCUUGUGUGUUGGGUCGUCGUCCCCCCCGGGGGACGGGCCCGAAAGGCAGCGGCGGCACCGCGUCCGGUCCUCGAGCGUAUGGGGCUUUGUCACCCGCUCGAUUAGGGCCGGCCGGGCGCCAGCCGGCGUCUCCAACCUUCUAUUUUACCAGGUUGACCUCGGAUCAGGUAGGGAUACCCGCUGAACUUAAGCAUAUCAAUAACGGAGGA